GACGAACGCUGGCGGCGUGCUUAACACAUGCAAGUCGAACGAUGAAGGAGAGCUUGCUCUCCGGAUUAGUGGCGAACGGGUGAGUAACACGUGACUAACCUGCCCCUUUCUCUGGGAUAACGCUACGAAAGGAGUGCUAAUACCGGAUACGAACUCUGAACACAUGUUCGGAGUUGGAAAGUUUUUCGGUUAGGGAUGGAGUCGCGGCCUAUCAGCUUGUUGGUGAGGUAACGGCUCACCAAGGAGACGACGGGUAGCCGGCCUGAGAGGUCGACCGGCCACACUGGGACUGAGACACGGCCCAGACUCCUACGGGAGGCAGCAGUGGGGAAUAUUGCACAAUGGGCGAAAGCCUGAUGCAGCGACGCCGCGUGAGGGAUGAAGGUCUUCGGAUUGUAAACCUCUUUCAGUAGGGACGAAGCGAAAGUGACGGUACCUAAAGAAGAAGCACCGGCUAACUACGUGCCAGCCGCCGCCGUAA
This 481-nucleotide ribosomal RNA is filed under the name uncultured bacterium. RNAcentral describes it as "partial 16S ribosomal RNA". It matches the Rfam family "Bacterial small subunit ribosomal RNA", at positions 28 to 523 of the family's 1533-position model. The record is from RNAcentral.